GAUGAACGCUGGCGGCGUGCCUAAUACAUGCAAGUCGAGCGAACAGACGAGGAGCUUGCUCCUCUGACGUUAGCGGCGGACGGGUGAGUAACAAGUGGAUAACCUACCUAUAAGACUGGGAUAACUUCGGGAAACCGGAGCUAAUACCGGAUAAUAUAUUGAACCGCAUGGUUCAAUAGUGAAAGACGGUUUUGCUGUCACUUAUAGAUGGAUCCGCGCCGCAUUAGCUAGUUGGUAAGGUAACGGCUUACCAAGGCAACGAUGCCUAGCCGACCUGAGAGGGUGAUCGGCCACACUGGAACUGAGACACGGUCCAGACUCCUACGGGAGGCAGCAGUAGGGAAUCUUCCGCAAUGGGCGAAAGCCUGACGGAGCAACGCCGCGUGAGUGAUGAAGGUCUUCGGAUCGUAAAACUCUGUUAUUAGGGAAGAACAAAUGUGUAAGUAACUAUGCACGUCUUGACGGUACCUAAUCAGAAAGCCACGGCUAACUACGUG
This 497-nucleotide ribosomal RNA is filed under the name uncultured bacterium. RNAcentral's name for it is "partial 16S ribosomal RNA". It matches the Rfam family "Bacterial small subunit ribosomal RNA", at positions 28 to 507 of the family's 1533-position model. The record is from RNAcentral.